GGUGUAAGGAAGGCGAGCGAUCCAGAAGAGCUCCUGCAGAAUGCAAAACUUGGCAAGAAGCAAGCGCUAAAUUCGUACGGGAAGCAGCGGGAGCGAUGUGGAGGGAGGAGACACAUCCUCGGCUCCCGGCACAGCGUCCUGCUGCACCUGCUGCCCUGUGGGAAGCGACAUUUUCCCGGAGGCAGCGGGGUGGCUCCCAGCCCCAGUUUGUGAGCAUCACGCCCCGCCAGCACCGCUCGGCACGGGCUGCGGGACAGACAAAAGACCGGCAAGGCCGAGCUAUAAAUCACACCCAGGAUCGCAGCGCUCAGGGGGGCGAUGUGCAGAGCCAGGGGAGCGGCGCGGGGCUGUGUCCGUGAGCUGUCCCCGGCCGGGGAUGGCAGCGGCGGUGCCGGCUGCUGCUGCUGCGCUACUGCGGCUGCGAUGGAGCCCCGUUCUGCCUCUGCCUGCAGCUCCCGGGCUGCACACAUGCACCUCAUAUGCAUCCCUACGUGCACGCACAGGGAGAUAGCUGCGUGCAUAUAGAUAUUCAGCAGUGCCAAGGAGAGGAAAAUGUUGUCUGGCAAGUUAUUGUGGUACCAGGAGUGCCCUUUGGUAAAAAUUGCUUCUCUUGUUAAUUGCCUGCAGCACUGAGGAUGGAUUUGCACGGGUUUGGUUGUACUCCAUGAGAACUGGGAACCUGAGAGCCACUGAAGGGCCCUUGUGGACAGAAACCAAAAGAGCAGAGCUCUCUGCAGUGAGCACCACGAGCACUGUGCUCUGAGAAGGAAUUCUAGGGGAGCAGCAUUCUUUUGUGGGGCUGACCUGGUGUCUUAAAGGCCCAGCUGCUGGAAUCCUCCCACCCCAGAACCUCAGGGGGCAGAAGAGAGAGAAGCCUCUCGUUGUCAUUACUGGGAAGUUCUCAUCAUCCCACCACACUCUUGGACUACAAAGAAAAGAGAGGUUUUUUAACCUCGAGUUUUCUACCUUUCCACUCAAAAGUAUUUAGUGUUUGAGGAAGAAGAUGUUUGGAUAUUGAGGGUGGAAAUGCUCAAUUUGUAGCAAUACUGGUAUCUAGCUGAGCCCUGCUAUGGGCUAGGGCUACGUUUGUGUGUAUAUAAAUUUAUUACAUUUAUAGAUAACUACAGAACUCUGCCAUGUCACCAUGAAUGCAUUAUCAGAACAUUCUAUUGCAGGAGUUUCAAAAACCUCUCAGAUUAUGUAUCACAUUCAAUUCUGUGGGCAAAAUUGACAGACCUAAACAAUUUGCAACCAAGCAGGGUAGAAUAAUGAGUGUAAUUUGUAAUUUGUUUUUUUAUGAGCACUGUUUUUCAAUAAGU
Zonotrichia albicollis (white-throated sparrow) is the source of this 1319-nucleotide long non-coding RNA. RefSeq lists it as uncharacterized. The record is from RefSeq and is a predicted model, not a curated record. Lineage: Eukaryota; Metazoa; Chordata; Aves; Passeriformes; Passerellidae.